This 76-nucleotide transfer RNA is filed under the name Patescibacteria group bacterium. Its description in RNAcentral is "tRNA-Ala". It matches the Rfam family "tRNA". From Rfam's summary of the family: Transfer RNA (tRNA) molecules are approximately 80 nucleotides in length. The record is from RNAcentral. RNAcentral also lists the same sequence under 5 other names.
GGGGUUGUAGCUCAGCUGGGAGAGCACUUGUCUGGCAGACAAGAGGUCACGGGUUCGAUCCCCGUCAACUCCACCA